GCGCUUAUAGCUUAAUUGGAUAAAGUUUUGCCCUCCGAAGGCAAAGGAUAUGGGUUCAAAUCCCAUUAAGCGCA
RNAcentral lists this transfer RNA (74 nucleotides) under Johnevansia muelleri (SeqCode). Its description in RNAcentral is "Candidatus Johnevansia muelleri tRNA-Arg (CCG) (tRNA-Arg-CCG-1-1)". It matches the Rfam family "tRNA". Rfam says of the family: Transfer RNA (tRNA) molecules are approximately 80 nucleotides in length. Their secondary structure includes four short double-helical elements and three loops (D, anti-codon, and T loops). The record is from Rfam by way of RNAcentral. Lineage: Bacteria; Pseudomonadati; Pseudomonadota; Gammaproteobacteria; Johnevansiales (SeqCode); Johnevansiaceae (SeqCode).